GUUUGAUUAUGGCGUCAGGAUGAACGCUAGCUACAGGCUUAACACGAUGCAAGUCAGGGGCAGCAGGAUCUAGCUUGCUAAGAUUGCUGGCAACCGGCGCACGGGUGAGUAACGCGUAUCCAACUUCCCCUAGUAGGGCAUAGCCCGAUGAAAAUCGGAUUAAAUACCCUAUGUUUUCCAAAUGAGGACAUCUGAGCUGGAACAAAGAUUCAUCGCUAAGGGAUGGGGGAUGCGUCCGAUUAGGAGUCGGCGGGUAACGCCCACCGAGCCAUCGAUCAGUAGGGGUCCUGAGAGGAAGGUCCCCCACAUUGGAACUGAGACACGGUCCAAACUCCUACGGGAGGCAGCAGUGAGGAAUAUUGGUCAAUGGGCGAGAGCCUGAACCAGCCAAGUAGCGUGCAGGAUGACGGCCCUAUGGGUUGUAAACUGCUUUUAUGCGGGGAUAAAGUUCGCCACGUGUGGCGUUUUGUAGGUACCGCAUGAAUAAGGACCGGCUAAUUCCGUGCCAGCCGCAGC
RNAcentral lists this ribosomal RNA (516 nucleotides) under uncultured bacterium. RNAcentral describes it as "bacterial SSU rRNA". It matches the Rfam family "Bacterial small subunit ribosomal RNA", at positions 11 to 518 of the family's 1533-position model. The record is from RNAcentral.